Molecule: ribosomal RNA, 305 nt
Filed under: uncultured bacterium
Lineage: Bacteria
Description: bacterial SSU rRNA
Rfam family: Bacterial small subunit ribosomal RNA
Source: RNAcentral
UCUGCCUACGGGGCGCAGCAGUGAGGAAUAUUGGUCAAUGGGCGGGAGCCUGAACCAGCCAAGUCGCGUGAGGGAAGAAGGUACUGAGUAUUGUAAACCUCUUUUGCCAGGGGACAAAGGCGGCCACGGGUGGCCGUAAGAGGGUACCUGGAGAAAAAGCAUCGGCUAACUACGUGCCAGCAGCCGCGGUAAUACGUAGGGGGCAAGCGUUAUCCGGAUUUACUGGGUGUAAAGGGAGCGUGGACGGCUGUGCAAGUCUGAAGUGAAAGCCCGUGGCUCAACCGCGGAACUGCUUUGGAAACUGU